UUGCUCGCCGGGGCUCAGUCCUCUCCUGCCUGUGGUCCUGACCUGCCCUCCAUGAGCAAGAGAAUCUGGACUGGUUGGGGGUGUCCUGUCCAAGUGGACCACAGGACUCCACGGUUUUCAGUACAACA
Non-coding RNA from Myodes glareolus (Bank vole), 128 nucleotides. RefSeq annotates it as small Cajal body-specific RNA 23. Lineage: Eukaryota; Metazoa; Chordata; Mammalia; Rodentia; Cricetidae. The record is from RefSeq and is a predicted model, not a curated record.